RNAcentral lists this long non-coding RNA (1797 nucleotides) under Olea europaea (common olive). RNAcentral's name for it is "long non-coding RNA (OEUR_LNC002845)". Lineage: Eukaryota; Viridiplantae; Streptophyta; Magnoliopsida; Lamiales; Oleaceae. The record is from RNAcentral.
UAGUGCAGAGGAAGCUGUGCGAUACCAGCUUGAUGCAUUGAUGUUCAAUGACCAACCUCGGCCAGAUUAUGGGAUUGAAGUCAUGUAUAGGGUACUUUAUAAUCUCCAAACUGUUGCUUUGUAUUUAUUGACUUUGAUAUGAUAUUUUUCACCUGUUGCUAUCAUGAUCACACUGAUGUUAUGUUCCAUCAGUUUGCUGGAUUCGAUCCUUUUGAAAGAUCUACCUAUUUUGGGCCCUUCUUUGAUUUAGGGCAGGUCAGUAAGUAUUUAAUUUUUAUAAAUUUACGUUGGCUGUUUUUACAAUUCUUCUUCAUGAUUUUGGUUGCCACCACCCAGAAAGGUACUAUGUAGUAUAUGGGAAAAGUGAAGUACUAGCUGAAGCAUUUCAAAUUUGCUCAAUCAUCAAAGUACCAAAUCAAUGCAUUGUUCCUACUAUAUUGUCUUGUAAUUUGUGCAGUUCGAACGGUUUAGGCGGAUCUUCCACCAUUCAAGUUACAGAGUUUUGCUAGGUCACCGGGAAAGAAAGAUCUUAAGCAGUUUACUUGUGAAGGAGGUAAUGGAGUUUUAUAUUUGUCCAUACAACGAAUUACAAUAUCUAUCUCCUGAAGGUAAGUAUACGUGAAACAGAAUAGCUAUAAGCAGCGAGUUUGGAUACGGGGAGCUCGACCUGAGGAAGAAGAAAUAUUUCAAUUUACAAUGGUUCAGGUGUGUGUGGCUUUUGAUAACUGACAUUUAGAUCUUCAGAUCCUUGUGCCAAAGAUAUUUAAGAUACAAUUCUGAGAUCACUUUCCUGAACUUUUGGUCAAAUAUUUCCAAACCUUGCAAUUCCCAGUGAGCGUCUCUUGACCAAAAUAUUGUGACAGCAAAUGUUAUUUUAUUCCAUAGUGUCUAUGAGCCAAUAGCUAUUUUUUAUUGCUGUCUUGCUGAUGCGGGAGGAUGAAGGAGCUGUGUUCGGUUGUUUCUUGAUUAAUACAAAUUAAACCAAGGUACCAAUCUGACGUCAAGAACUGGCAAAUUUUUCAAAUGGCUGUUUGUAAUUACAUGAUUUGACUUGGAUAUAAGAAGGGGACUGGGAUUUGAGAUUGAGGGAAUCAUCUUCAUCUCAUUAUUAUCAAAAUCCUCGGUGAAAUUUAUUUUGUGGAUUUUUUUUUUUUUUUUUUUUUUUUUUUUUGGCUCUGUUCUUGGGAAGUGCUAAGUCGUAGGAGAGGGGAUUGAUCCUCGAGACUUUCGAUCCAUUGGACUUUAUAAUGAUUGUUGUCUUCUUUCAUGAAUAUCUUGAACUAGUUUUGUAGCUACGUCUUGGCUUAGAUUGAUAGUUCUGCAAAUUUGGUCUGCAUUAAAUUCUCUUGACAUCCCAUAAGUUUUGCAAGAUCAACAUAUAUUUCUCUGAUUUAUUUCAAUUUAUAUUUGUAGGCUUGAGUCUCGCAGGAAAAGACCUUCUGGUCCGAGAUUAAGUGUAAUUUUCUAACUAUAGAACUCAUCCAACACAUGCUGCCAUCUUUCUCUUGUACCAUGUUGAUUAAAAUCUAUGUUGUAAUAGUUUAGUGCAGAGGAAGCUGUGCGAUACCAGCUUGAUGCAUUGAUGUUCAAUGACCAACCUCGGCCAGAUUAUGGGAUUGAAGUCAUGUAUAGGGUACUUUAUAAUCUCCAAACUGUUGCUUUGUAUUUAUUGACUUUGAUAUGAUAUUUUUCACCUGUUGCUAUCAUGAUCACACUGAUGUUAUGUUCCAUCAGUUUGCUGGAUUCGAUCCUUUUGAAAGAUCUACCUAUUUUGGGCCCUUCUUUGAUUUAGGGCAG